GUCUAGGUGGCGGAAUUGGUAGACGCGCUACUUUGAGGGGGUAGUGGCCGUAUUGGCCGUGUGAGUUCGAGUCUCAUCCUGGACACCA
Molecule: transfer RNA, 88 nt
Filed under: Muribaculaceae bacterium
Lineage: Bacteria; Pseudomonadati; Bacteroidota; Bacteroidia; Bacteroidales; Muribaculaceae
Description: tRNA-Leu
Rfam family: tRNA
About the family: Transfer RNA (tRNA) molecules are approximately 80 nucleotides in length. Their secondary structure includes four short double-helical elements and three loops (D, anti-codon, and T loops). Further hydrogen bonds mediate the characteristic L-shaped molecular structure. tRNAs have two regions of fundamental functional importance: the anti-codon, which is responsible for specific mRNA codon recognition, and the 3' end, to which the tRNAs corresponding amino acid is attached (by aminoacyl-tRNA synthetases). tRNAs cope with the degeneracy of the genetic code in two manners: having more than one tRNA (with a specific anti-codon) for a particular amino acid; and 'wobble' base-pairing, i.e. permitting non-standard base-pairing at the 3rd anti-codon position.
Source: RNAcentral